Molecule: non-coding RNA, 83 nt
Organism: Plicaturopsis crispa FD-325 SS-3
Lineage: Eukaryota; Fungi; Basidiomycota; Agaricomycetes; Amylocorticiales; Amylocorticiaceae
Source: the annotation of a GenBank genome assembly
GUCUCAGUAGCUCAGUGGUAGUAGCGUGCGAUUGCAGUUAGCACUCUAUCGCAAUGUCAGGCGUUCGAUCCGCCUCUGGGACU